GGAACAUUUGCUGGGCGGUGAACAGCUUCAAACCGUUUAAAUCGCCAGGUCCAGACAAGCUGAUCCCAGCUCAACUUCAGAGAGCUGGGGACCAACCUAUCCGCUGGCUACAAUGUAUCUUCAAAAAAAAAAUCGAAAGGUAGGAAAGAUUCCUAAAGCAUGGCUCAAGGCAUAAAUGAAGACUCAUCCCGAAAUCGGGAAAAGCCUCCUUCUCGACGGCAAAGGACUUCAGACCGAUUAGUCUGACAUUCUUUCUCCUAAAAACAUUCGAAAGAACGGUCUACAUCUGAGGACAAUCAUCAACCCUCAGAUGCUGUCAGACACACAACACGCAUACCGGAAAGGUAAAUCCACGGAAACGGCC
Molecule: long non-coding RNA, 364 nt
Filed under: Drosophila guanche
Lineage: Eukaryota; Metazoa; Arthropoda; Insecta; Diptera; Drosophilidae
Source: RNAcentral